Molecule: long non-coding RNA, 453 nt
Filed under: Physcomitrium patens
Lineage: Eukaryota; Viridiplantae; Streptophyta; Bryopsida; Funariales; Funariaceae
Description: long non-coding RNA (PPAT_LNC004642)
Source: RNAcentral
UAAUUAUCUUAAUAUAAUUUUAAUUAAAAUCCUAAUUAAAUCUUAACCAUAUCUUAUAUUAAAUUCUAAUUGAAACCAUAAUUGAACCUUAAUCAAAUCUUAGGUCAAACCCUAAUGAAACCUUAAACCUUAGAUAAAUUCUAGAUAAGUUUUAAACCAAAUCUUAAGCAAAUCCUAUUCCUAAUCAAAUCCUAGAUCAAAUCCUAAAUCAAACCUUUAACUAAAUCCUAAGCAAAUCAUAGACCAAAACUUAAACCAAACUCUAAAUCAAAUCCUAGUCAAAUCCUAGAUCAAUUCCUAAGCCUUAACCAAACUAUAGAUAAACUCUAAAUCAAAUCCAAUAGUAAAAUAGAACUUCAACAAUUAAUAAUCAAACCAUUGAUAUCAAUUCAAAAUUUUCAUAUUUCUUAAUAUCUUAAUUAAAAACAAACACAAGAAAGAUGAAAUCAAUUA